Molecule: ribosomal RNA, 630 nt
Filed under: uncultured fungus
Lineage: Eukaryota; Fungi
Description: eukaryotic LSU rRNA
Rfam family: 5.8S ribosomal RNA (bases 232-385)
Source: RNAcentral
AGUAAAAGUCGUAACAAAGUCUCCGUAGGUGAACCUGCGAGGGGAUCAUUAUCAGUUAACAACUGGCCCGAAGUCCCUCGCGGGACNUAGGGUGCACGAGUAAACAAACCCUUUGUCGUCCGACCAUGUUGCCUCGGGGGAGACCCCGCCUUCGGGCGGGUGGCACCCCGGUGGACCAAACCAAACUCUUGCAUAACAAUGUAGUCUGAGUGAUUUAAAACAAUAAAUCAAAACUUUCAACAACGGAUCUCUUGGUUCUGGCAUCGAUGAAGAACGCAGCGAAAUGCGAUAAGUAAUGUGAAUUGCAGAAUUCAGUGAAUCAUCGAAUCUUUGAACGCACAUUGCGCCCCGUGGUAUUCCGCGGGGCAUGCCUGUUCGAGCGUCAUUACACCACUCAAGCCUCGCUUGGUAUUGGGCGACGCGGUACGCCGCGCGCCUCAAAUCUUCCGGCUGGUUCGAAUCGUCCCUCAGCGUUGUGGAAACUAUUCGCUAAAGGUGCGCGUUUCGGUCACGCCGUUAAACAAGCCAAUUUCAUUAAAGGUUGACCUCGGAUCAGGUAGGGAUACCCGCUGAACUUAAGCAUAUCAAUAAGCGGAGGAAAAGAAACCAACAGGGAUUGCCCCAGUAACG